This 7157-nucleotide long non-coding RNA is filed under the name Homo sapiens (human). RNAcentral describes it as "HSALNT0052364". Lineage: Eukaryota; Metazoa; Chordata; Mammalia; Primates; Hominidae. The record is from RNAcentral.
UGGGCUCAAUCAAUCCUCCCUCCUCAGCCUCCAGAGUAGCUGGGACCACAGGCAUGCGCCACCGUGCCUAGUUAAUUAUAAAACUUUUUUUAGAGAUGGAGUUUUGCUGUGUUUCCUAGGCUGGUCUCAAAUUCCUGUGCUCAAGUGAUAUGCCCACCUCAGGCUCCCAAAGUGCUGGGAUGACAGGCGCGAGCCACUGCACCUGGCCAAAAUAAAGCUUGACCUGAGUUGAUAUGAGGGUGAUGAGACUGAGUAAAAAGCCCAUAGGAUUCCAGCCUGUGUUCAUGUAAGUAUUCAGAACAAGAUAAUCUCUGCUACUCUCUACACUACUUUGAUUUAGGAGUGACUGUACUUGGCUUUAACAACCUCACUUAGGAGAGAUAUUGAGAAAGCCAAAUAUGACAACAUGUGGCUAUUCAGCAUAAUGCAGAAUCUGAAAAACACAAUACGUGAAAAUUGAUUCAACAAACUGGAGGAGAUUACGUGUUUGUUCUGAGGCUAUGUAAGCUUGAGUCAUGGUUCUGCUCUUUGCCCUCCGUGCAACCUUGGAAUAUUUUUACUUUAUUUCUUUGUUCUGUUUCCUCACAUAUGAAACAAAGAUAAUAACAUUGCCUACUAUAUCAAUUAGUAUAAUUAUAGCUUCAGGUAAUGGAAAAGCCAGGUAAUUUGGCUCAGUUCACAAAGACGUCACUUGUUUACUUAAUGAGAAAUCUAGAAGUACAUGGCUUAGGGUUAGUCUGGUGGUUCCACAAUGUGAGGAUUCUAGGUUCUCUAUGAUUUUCCCGACUUUACCUCCACUGUUGAAAAUGGCAGUGGUGGCUCCAGAAAUCUCAUUUUCAUAAUUUCAAGUCCAAAAUCUGGAAGAAGUGAGACCAGGUGGGGGUGUAAGACAGAGAGAAAACCCUCCAAACAUGUCUCUCUUCUUUUCAAAGGAAGAAAAAAUGUUUCCAAGAAUCCCUCUAGCAGAUGUUCUUCUAUGCCUUCGUAGCCAAAAUGGAAUUCCAAGGCCACUUCUAGCUAAGAAGAAGCAUUUUAAUGGAGAGACUUUUUGUGAUGCGUGUACAGAGGACAUUAUUAGUGAAAUAACAGCAAACUUGCUAUUAAUGAGAUCUGCUCAAAAUCUCUAUGAGGUAGUGAAUGCCCCAUCAUGAAGAUUUUCAUGCAGAAUUGGGAUGACCUCUGUUCUUCAGACUCCAACAUACCAUCUUGAGAUAACCUCAGGCCCUGAAGUGUAUCGACAAGCAGAAUGAUCUCAGCCAAGUUGUAAAACUGUCUUUGAAAAGAAUAGCUGGAUGAAAAACAUUAGCAGCAACUGAAUCAAGAGAAAACGUGACUUCAAACUGAAAGGCACUCUCAUGGUAAAUACAUAGUAAAACCAUGUUCUGCAACUUCAUAUUUUCGUAAUGCUUUAAGCUACCCAAGGAGCCCAUGCAGAUAUGCAAAGCUACUCAUUGAGAAGCUCAGCUUAUCCCUACAUAUGCCAUCACCAGUUUUUCACUUAACGUUUUCUCCUCAACCCCUUUCUAUUUGGCUUCCAUUCUACUACUCACCAACCACCUUCAGUUUGCAAAAUCCUAUGCAGAUCUUACCUUAACUUUUCAGCAUCAUUCAGUAAGGUUAAAAACUUUUCCUUCUAGAUGGUUUUGGUGGCACCAGAGUCUUCUUGUUUUCUUCUUUCUUUUUUAGCUGCACUUUCUCAGUAGUAUUUGCUGGCUCUCCUUCCUUUACUCCAACUCUUACUGUUGUAGUUUCACUGAUCUUGGAUUGAGUUCCUCCCUUUGUUUUCCUAUUUAUACUCUCUGACUAAGGUUCAAAAUUGUCUUUAUCUGUUGUAAAAUCUGUGUUUCAAGACUAGAACUUCUCCUCUAAAUCCCAUCUAUCUGAUGACUGAUAGAUUUCAGACUGAACAUGCUUAGAAUAAAAUGCUUAGCCAUGGCUGUUCCCUGCUCCCUGGCCACAGUUGCCAUACACCUUCAUCCUUCCUCAGUUUUCUCAUGGUAAAUGUUACCAUCAUCCACUCAGUUAAUAAUACCUGAAACCAGGGAAAUGGUCCUGAAAUUAGUCCUUUUUUAAAUAUCACCUUCACAUGUAGCCAAUCAGCAAUUCCUACAAUUUAUAUUCCAGAAUAUAUGUCAAGUCCAUCUACUUUUUCCACCUCCACCGCUGUCACCUAGCUCAAGCCACCAUCAUCCUUCACCUAUUCUAUUGCAGUAGCCUCCUAGAAGGUCUCCUAGCUUCCUUUAUUAGCCCUGUACAAGCCAUUCUCUGCAUGGCAGCAGAAUAAUCUUUUAAAAACUGAAAUCAUACCAAUUACUCCUUACCCAAAAGUAUUGAAGGGUUCCUGUUGCAUGUUGAACAAAAUCUACACUCCUUAUCAUGGCCUAUGGAGUGCUUCAUGUUCCCAACCUUGGCAAUGUUUUUUAACAUGCUACCAGUUCUUUCUGUUUCUUACUAAGUCCAGCUCACAUUGACCUAACACACUAACCUCUUUCCUGUCUCAGGCCCUUUGCCCUUGCUGUUACCUCUCUUAGAACAUCCUUUGUUGCUUUGCAUAGCCCAUUCCUCCUCAUUCUUCAUUUCUCAGCUUAAAUGCCACUUCAUCAGAGACGCCUUUUUCAAAAACUUUACCUAAGUUUUUAUUUGUUUUUCUUUUUUCCUGAGCUGAUAGGAAGACAACUCUGUUAUCUUUAGGAUUUCAGAUGCUUUUAGAAUCAAACCUGGAAAGGAUACAAAAAGCAGAAGCAAAACCAACAUUUGGGAGAAGAACAGAUUAAGACAGUAGCUUAUAUUGAAACAUCACUUCUCAUUUGCUGUUUGGACAAUGGUGAUGGAACUGCUGCUUUAUUGCCCACGGAGAAGCGAAGUGAAGAGUCUAAAGUGGGUCUUGCAGUUACACUGGACAAAAGAAGUUUGAAACUGAGGCUUGGUCCUGAAGAAAACAUAGAGAAGCCUGACAGAUUAUAUAUAUUCACAGCUUUGACUUAAAGGUUGCUGGUUGACCAAUAAGUAAUACAAGAAGAAAUGGUCUUUUCUGGAAUUGUCCUUCUUUCCAGGUAUCAAUGGUGAGCAGAAGAGGAGCAGGGAAUGAUGAAAGACCACACAUUCUCCAAAAGUCACUAAGCACUGUCUGCAGAUGGAACAUUCAUAUUUUCACAUAGUAUAAGUCAUAUGAUCUUUGAUCCUCCAUGUAUUGCUAUCCAGCCAUUUACUUUAGAAUGUCAGCCUUUAUACUGAUAUCACACACAUGUUGUAAAAUGUAGUGAAGAUAAACGGGUGAAGUUAAACUUACAAUGCUUUUGCUGUUAUCCAUAAAAAUGCAAUAGGUAUUGCAUAGAAUUAGUUACAAGCACAAAACUGUGAUACCCUAUAUGCCCCUGUUACAAGAAAGUUGUCAUUUUACAUUAUGGGUAUUUAUUCGAUAUUUUCAUAGUUUAAUUACUAACAAAGCAUUAAUAAUGCCAGAUUGUGCUGACAAACAUUGCAGUCUCUGAAUAGGAGAAAGAAUAUAUUCUUUGCACCAUUAUACAAUGAUUUAGAACUUUAAUAGUGUGCUGGGGAAAAAACAUGUAUCUGUAACCUGAAAUAGUUGUUUUACCUCCCUGAGUACAAAAUAUGUCACACAUUCUCUCCUAAAUGUAUUCUCUAUUUUUACCAGUCAUUUUGUUGCUAAAAUGUAAGAUAUGGGGAUGGGAUGUGGGUGAUUGUCUCCGUCCUUUUGGGCUUCUAUAACUAAAAUACCUUAGACUGGGUAAUUUAUAAACAACAGGAAUUUAUUUCUCACAGUUCUGGGGGCUGGAAAGUCCAAGAUCAAGGCUGUGGUGGGGUUUGGCUGGCGAGGGCUCCAUCCUUCUUGCUAUAUCUUCACAUGGUGGAAGGAGCAAACAAACUCCCCCAGCCCUCUUUUACAAGGGCACUAAUAUUAUUUGUGAGGGCUCCACUCUCAUGACUUAAUCACCUCCCCAAAGACCCUACUUCUUAAUACUAACACAUUGGGGAUUAAUCUUCAACAUAUGAAUUUUGGAGGAACACAAACAUUCAGACCAUAGCAAUGUUUAUUGGGGUGAAUGCUCAUUUAACUUUUCCCAGAACAAUCCCUGUUAAGUCUGCUAACCUCCUGUAGUUAAUGAUAAAAUUUCCUUCAUUUUCCGAAGUGUUCUUGUUUGGAUUAUAAAUUAUGUAAUUACCCUAAUGACAAUUAACUAGACAUUUUUUUUCUUACUGUAUAGCACCAGUAUGGGCAAUUGCAGUGGCUUUCAAACUUGACUACAACUCAGGGAGAAAUACAUUUUUCAUCAUAACGUAGUACACACACACACACACACACACACACACACACACGCACACACACACACACAUACACUAGAUAAAGCAAAAGCUUUAGGAAAUGGUACUUGGAUAUUUUCAAAUAUAUUUUAGUCUGUUUUUUAAUUAAAAAUCUCUAGUCAUGAUACAUUAAAUUGACUUAUUGACCCACAGCUUGAAAAAACACCAAUAUUUUGGAUGUGUUUUAAGGUCAUAGAACACGCCUUCUGAUUUUUUUCCUUCCCUAGGUAAUCCUAUGCAAGUUGCCAAUCUUCUCUAAACAACACUCUUCUUCAUCUAUAAAGUAAAUAUUAAUACCUACCUGAAGGUGGCAGAGAGAGUUAACUGAGAUAAUUUGGUUAAUGAGCCUGAAAUCUAGUCAACACUUACUAAAGGUAAUUUCUUCUCCUCUCUUCCGCUUCUAAACCAACAGGACACAGCUGAAGUUCACAGGUUUGUAAAAGUGAAAAAAUAUUUUUCUUAACCCCCUGACCUCUAAAGUUUGGUCAGAGUGUUUAGCCACUGAUAAAACAUCUUUAAGCACUGUUACUUCUAUGUUCAACUAAAAGAGUCACUUUUCAGUAAUUUCCGGUCAAGCCCAUCACAAUAGCACUUGCAGCUUCUCAAAAGAAAAGAAAGAAAGAGAGAGAAAGAAAGGAAGAAAGAGAAUUGAAGGAGGAAAGAAGGAAAAAAAUCAUGAUGAAGAUUUUAAAACAUGUCUUAUUGAGGGAUGGGAUGGUGAGGAAGUUGAUUAUAGUGAUGGAUGUGACAGACAGGGCCCGUACUUCUGUUUCUGUUCUCAAACUAACAGUUUUCACACAUAACCGUUUUCACACAUAACACAUUAGUAGAAUUUCUUUUGAAUAUUUGCCUUGGAAAUAAAACAAUAAUAAUAUAGCAUUUAUUAUAUUUAUUAUAUAUAGAGUGUGUGUGUGUGUGUGUCUGUGUGUGUGUGUAUCCCACAUGUCCACAUGAGAAAUAAUGAAAGAAGAUGGAGCCCAAGUAAGAGAGUCCUGAUGCCCCAUAAUGCAGAGAGACAAAGAAGUGAUGAAAUCAAGUACUCUACCUCUGGGCCGCCAGAAUCCAGGCCUGGUUCCAGAGUCCUCUGGUUUUCACCGUGUUGGGGUGGGGCCUCCCCGGGUGCACAGCUUUUCUGCACUGGUUGGCAUCUACUGAACCUUAGGUGAUCACAGCAGUGGUAAAGACAAGCCAGCUUCCGUCUUUCCAUAGUUUGUUCCCCUGUACUUCAGGAGGGAGGGGAGCCCCUCUAUGGAAUGCAAUACACACUAGGCAUCCUAUCACUAUGUAAGAACUCAUCUUGCUCCCUCAUUUCACAUUACAUCUUUGACUGUCUUGCUCAGUUGUUUCACCUUGGCUAGUUUUUACUCUUUGGCGAGUACUCUCACAACUCUCUUGUAGGCAGGAGCCCAUUUUCUUUUUCUGAGUACUCUGGACUCCUUGCAUGGUGCUUCCUGGGCAAGGGGUGCUCAACAAAUUGUGCUGAUAAUUAAGUCAUUCACUCAAAAUAUAUUUAUUAAGCACCUAGUGACCAAGACAGAAAAAAGUUACUAUUGACCUUCAAAUCACCAAAUCUAAUGAUCAUUCCUUACUGCUCAUCUUCCUCCACCAUUGCUACCUUAGAGGCCUCCCGUGCCUGCCUCCAUUUCCCAGACUUACUGCUUGAUUCUCCCUGGCAAGCUUUCCCUUCACCAUUUUUUUUUCAGCACUUGUAAGGAACUGAAUCUGUCCCCAAUAGUACACAGUUUGAGUUAGAGCCAGGACUAGAACUCAGGCCUGCAUAUAAUCAAAGAUCAGAAAACGGCCAAAUCUUGGUGUUUCUAUUCACAGGGAGGAAACCCAGAUGGGCCUACUCACAAUACAUGCUUCCAAAUGAAAGAACGUUUUUCCCCCUAAGGACAUUGUUAGGACACUGUCUAGCUAGAAGAUAUUCAGAGAAAAUUCACUCCUUUACCUGCCCUAGGGAAAUGGGAAAAUUCAAUGUUUGAGCCAUUUACCCAAAAGAGUAAUCCAUGCUGGAAAUUUUGCUGAAAGUAUUCUUUUAAAAGGCCCUUCUGUCUUUAUUAUGACGAUAAGACUGCUGAGUCUGCCCAAGCAUAUGAGGUUGCAAAGAAUAUUUCUUUUUAUUCAGACCUUGUAUUCUCUACAUGAUGAAAGGAUUCUUGGCACAUAGUUGGCAAUUACUAUCUAGGUUUUCUGCAUAACAUAGGUUUUUUAAACUAAGCUUUUAACUCAAUAGACAUCAGGCUCCAAUGAAAAUACAUGUGGCCUAACACGAGCAGAAAUAAACACAAUUCUAAUCAACUUAACUGUUGACAAAAGCAUGUGGUUUCAUUGCUUGCGGCCAAAGUUGUAAGAGUGGACUCUGAUUUCUUGCAGGAACACCCCUCAUUUAUGUGUGCAAAUAGGGUAAUUAAGUGUCCAAUUACCAGAUUUGCAUUGGCAAAUGGGGGCUUUGUGUGGGUAAAAUUCUCCAUGGUUUGGGACCAGCUGAAACUUAGGUCUUUUCUUUUUGGAUCAAUCCCCCAACAAUAACACGGGCAUGAUGAAGUUCCCUUCUUGUCCUGAUCUGAAGCCAUGGCUGAAGACUUCCCUUAUUUUGGUAAUUCAGUGAAGCGGAGAGCCAAAGUUAGGAUCUGGGGCCUUUUCUUCCUUACUGUCUACUCUGAAAAAUAAUUAAGCAUUUCAAGUAUUUUCAGACUGACUUUUUUUUUUUCCUGCUGGCUCUGUAGAAUUGAUUACUAAGGUGAAAUACUUGUAAAUAUUCCUUUUAAAAAUUUAACCAUAUGGAAGCAUUAAGUUGAAAGACACUUCAUAAAACAACUUUAUUCUUUUCU